ACGGCUCAGUAACACGUGGAUAACCUGCCCUUAGGUCUGGCAUAACCCCGGGAAACUGGGGAUAAUUCCGGAUAGAUCAUAGAUGCUGGAAUGCCCUGUGAUCCAAAGCUUUUGUGCCUAAGGAUGGGUCUGCGGUCUAUCAGGUUGUAGUGGGUGUAAUGUACCUACUAGCCUACGACGGAUACGGGUUGUGGGAGCAAGAGCCCGGAGAUGGAUUCUGAGACAUGAAUCCAGGCCCUACGGGGCGCAGCAGGCGCGAAAACUUUACAAUGCGGGAAACCGCGAUAAGGGGACACCGAGUGCCAGCAUCCUAUGUUGGCUGUCCAUAUGUCUAAAUCACAUGUGUUAGCAAGGGCCGGGCAAGACCGGUGCCAGCCGCCGCGGUAACACCGGCGGCCCGAGUGGUGGCCACUAUUAUUGGGUCUAAAGGGUCCGUAGCCGGUUUGGUCAGUCUUCCGGGAAAUCUGACGGCUCAACCGUUAGGCUUUCGGGGGAUACUACCAGGCUUGGGACCGGGAGAGGUAAGAGGUACUACGGGGGUAGGAGUGAAAUCUUGUAAUCCCUGUGGGACCACCAGUGGCGAAGGCGUCUUACCAGAACGGGUCCGACGGUGAGGGACGAAAGCUGGGGGCACGAACCGGAUUAGAUACCCGGGUAGUCCCAGCUGUAAACUAUGCUCGCUAGGUGUCAGGGACGGUGCGACCGUUUCUGGUGCCGCAGGGAAGCCGUGAAGCGAGCCACCUGGGAAGUACGGUCGCAAGGCUGAAACUUAAAGGAAUUGGCGGGGGAGCAC
This 793-nucleotide ribosomal RNA is filed under the name uncultured archaeon. RNAcentral's name for it is "bacterial SSU rRNA". It matches the Rfam family "Archaeal small subunit ribosomal RNA", at positions 85 to 879 of the family's 1478-position model. The record is from RNAcentral.